RNAcentral lists this ribosomal RNA (468 nucleotides) under uncultured bacterium. RNAcentral describes it as "partial 16S ribosomal RNA". It matches the Rfam family "Bacterial small subunit ribosomal RNA", at positions 28 to 507 of the family's 1533-position model. The record is from RNAcentral.
GACGAACGCUGGCGGCGUGCUUAACACAUGCAAGUCGAACGGAAAGGCCCUGCUUUUGUGGGGUGCUCGAGUGGCGAACGGGUGAGUAACACGUGAGUAACCUGCCCUUGACUUUGGGAUAACUUCAGGAAACUGGGGCUAAUACCGGAUAGGAGCUCCUGCUGCAUUGUGUGGGUUGGAUAGUUUCGGCGGUUGGGGAUGGACUCGCGGCUUAUCAGCUUGUUUGUGGGGUAGUGGCUUACCAAGGCUUUGACGGGUAGCCGGCCUGUGAGGGUGACCGGGGACAAUGGGACUGAGAUAAGGACCAGAAGGCUACGGGAGGCAGGAGUGGGGAAUAGUGCACAAUGGGGGGAAGGCGGAUGCAGAAACGGAGGGGGCGGGAUGACGGCCUUCGGGUUGUAAACAGAUUUCGAAUGUGACGAAGCGUGAGUGACGGUAAUGGGUAAAGAAGCACCGGCUAACUACGUG